RNAcentral lists this ribosomal RNA (253 nucleotides) under uncultured bacterium. RNAcentral's name for it is "partial 16S ribosomal RNA". It matches the Rfam family "Bacterial small subunit ribosomal RNA", at positions 524 to 776 of the family's 1533-position model. The record is from RNAcentral.
GACAGAGGGUGCUAGCGUUGUUCGGAAUUACUGGGCGUAAAGGGCGCGUAGGCGGCUCGUUUAGUCGGGUGUGAAAUCCCAAGGCUCAACCUUGGAACUGCAUUCGAUACUGGCGGGCUAGAGGCCGGAAGAGGUGGGUGGAAUACCCAGUGUAGAGGUGAAAUUCGUAGAUAUUGGGUGGAACACCGGUGGCGAAGGCGGCUCACUGGUCCGGUUCUGACGCUGAGGCGCGAAAGCGUGGGGAGCAAACAGG